Molecule: long non-coding RNA, 2267 nt
Organism: Camelus dromedarius (Arabian camel)
Lineage: Eukaryota; Metazoa; Chordata; Mammalia; Artiodactyla; Camelidae
Exons: 2
Source: RefSeq, a predicted model, not a curated record
ACAACGUGGUACCAUGAGCGCCAAGGAUAUUUAAGUCAGAACAGAUCUAGUCUUUCCCAUUCACUUUGCCAUUUUGCUUUCAUUUUUCUUUACUGAAAAUAGGCAGGCUUGGAAGCCUGAAUGACCUGAGUUCAAUUUCAGCACACGUGUUUACUAGCUGUGAAUUCACUUCGCCGGAUCACCCAGGUCCAGCAUUUGUCAAGUGAGACUGGUAAUACUGUUGCUACCCUAGAGAAUUAUAAUGCACCUCAAAUGAGAUAAUGUGUAGCAAGCACUUACUACAGUCUGGUGCAUGGUGAAUAAAUGCUGGCCAGGAUGGCAAUCUGUAUUGUUGCUAAUGACAGUGACAUUGGGCUGUCCCUGUCUCUUAUUGAUGAGGGAAACUCAUCAGCCAAAUGGAAAAGGAAAAGACGGGUGGCCCCUGCAAUAGUUUCCAUAUUGUCUUUCAAAUAGCUGGAGAACAAGAGAGCUGACAAGCAACCUGACCGUGGCUCCUCGCUUUCUCUGAGAUGACAGCUCGUUGGUGCAUUUCUCCACUCUUCAGCAUUUGGCAGUUAUCUUACUGAGUGUCUACAAUGGACUUCUGGUUUUGGCAACAUGGUGGACCAAGAUAAUAUGGAAGAACUCUGGAUACAAACGCCUGUAAAAGCUGGAUAACUGAAUCAAUUAAAAAGUCAUGGAUGAAAGAGAGGGGAAAUCCCAGUGCUAGAAACACAGUGUCCUCUGGAAGCUGGAAGGCGAUGGAGACAUCUGUCACUGAAGCCGGAGCUUCCAGGCGGAGUCUCACCUGAAUUAGGUCUCAGCAGUCCGUUGUAACACUCACUUAAGAAGAUGAGACCUGGAUCUCGGACGCCCCCGGAAUAAAACUGAAACCCUCCAAAGGCACCAACACCCUCUGUGAAUGGUGGACUCAGAGGCCAAGAAAGGUUUUUUGUUUUUUUUUUCACAUCCAGGGUUCUGAGUCGGGGGAGAAACGCUAUCCUGUGAGAAGUAAAACUUUAAGCCCAAGCCAGAUGCUGUUUAUAAUAUUGAUUUACCUCAGUUGUGUGCUGAGUGAUUCUCAAUCUGAGGGUUUACCUAAAAUUGGCUCCACAAACCAGGCAACAGAGAACCCCCUCAGAAGAAACAGUCCCGGGUGAGGAUUAGCUCAUUACAAGCCAAGGACACGCAAGGACUCAUGGCGCGCGUGGGCCGGCUGCAGGGUCAGCAAGAAGGGUGCGUCGCGAGCCAGCCUCUGUUCCAGGAGCCGCGCGGGGCGCACAGGAGGCUCUGGAACCUGGAGGGUAGACCUGGCGCAGUGGCCCCUCACGGUUCACCGUGUAGCCGUUGAUGAAUGUUCUUUUUGACCCAUGAGGAUGAUGGCCGUACGUAACUCUUCCAAGACACAAACUGUAAGAAGUGUGAAGUCCCCCCAGGAAGGUUUGCCAGUGCAGAGGACAUCGGUGGCUUUAGCCCGCCCAGCAUCCUUUCUCCCUGACUCCUGGGAACAGCCCGGGCUCUGGGUAGACUGCCAACCACAUCCCCUACCCCUAGGCACAGUUUUGGACACAUGAUGCCUGCUUGGUCAAAACUAGUACCCUACCCCUGGCCGUGGUGAAUGACCCAGACAUGGGCAUGUGACCCCGGCCAGGGCACCAGAGCGUCCUUUCCUGAGGUUUUGUGCAUGGAUGCCGAGAAGAGUAAAGCUUGCCCCGUCAGAGGUUUGGGCAUGUGACUUCUGACGUCCCACAUCACUCCUCUAGAACCAAAACAAGAAACUCCGUUUCAUCCAACCCCUAAUGCAGAUGUGGAAGUUGAUCGGCAGAAUGUGGUUUCCCAAGGAGGCCGUCCUUACGAGCACGUGCUACCGAAGAGGCAUCAGACAUGCAUCUGGGACACAGGCUGGGUGGGGAAGACCCGCCAAAUACAUGUUCUUCCCUGAACGCCCCCCUGUCUGAAUUGGCGGUGUUUUUUCUAGAGAGGAGGCACCCACGUAUUCUGGAAUUGUGCUUUCUCCCCCUCAAGCAAAUCAUUCGUAUCAAGACUUGUUGAAAUGUGACUCCAUUGCAGACAGAGAAUUAGAAACUGAGCACUGACACCAGAUGUUACUCCUCUUUAAAAAAAGUACUAUCGGGGGGGAGGGUAUGGCUCAGUGGUAGACUGCACGCCUAGUAUGCACAGGGUCCUAGGUUCACUCCCCAGUACCUCCAUUAAAAAUAAAUUAGUAAAUAAACCUAAUUACCUUCCCUAAACCUUUUUUUUAUUUAAAAAAAAUGUAUCAAAAUCCA